This 468-nucleotide ribosomal RNA is filed under the name uncultured bacterium. RNAcentral describes it as "partial 16S ribosomal RNA". It matches the Rfam family "Bacterial small subunit ribosomal RNA", at positions 28 to 507 of the family's 1533-position model. The record is from RNAcentral.
GAUGAACGCUGGCGGCGUGCUUAACACAUGCAAGUCGAACGGAAAGGCCCUGCUUUUGUGGGGUGCUCGAGUGGCGAACGGGUGAGUAACACGUGAGUAACCUGCCCUUGACUUUGGGAUAACUUCAGGAAACUGGGGCUAAUACCGGAUAGGAGCUCCUGCUGCAUGGUGGGGGUUGGAAAGUUUCGGCGGUUGGGGAUGGACUCGCGGCUUAUCAGCUUGUUGGUGGGGUAGUGGCUUACAAAGGCUUUGACGGGUAGCCGGCCUGAGAGGGUGACCGGCCACAUUGGGACUGAGAUACGGCCCAGACUCCUACGGGAGGCAGCAGUGGGGAAUAUUGCACAAUGGGCGGAAGCCUGAUGCAGCAACGCCGCGUGCGGGAUGACGGCCUUCGGGUUGUAAACCGCUUUCGCCUGUGACGAAGCGUGAGUGACGGUAAUGGGUAAAGAAGCACCGGCUAACUACGUG